CACUUCAGUAUCAAGUAAUUCUAUAUAAUUAUAGAAAUUUUUAUGUUAAAACUAGUAACAAGAAAACAAACUUCUCCUUAAUGCAAGCAUAAAUCAGAAAGGACCCACCACUGAUAAUUAACACCCAUGAAUCUAAUAGUAGUAACGCUACAAGAAAAUUCUACCCCAUCUUAUGUUAAUCUUACACAAGAGCAUUUUAGGAAAGAUUAAAAGAAAAAGAAGGAACUCGGCAAAUUUUAACCCCGCCUGUUUACCCAAAACCAUCGCCUCUUGAAUAAUUAUAAGAGGUCCAGCCUGCCCAGUGACUCUGUUCAACGGCCGCGGUAUCCUAACCGUGCGAAGGUAGCGUAAUCACUUGUUCUUUAAAUGAGGACUAGUAUGAAUGGCACCACGAAGGUUAUACUGUCUCCUUUUUUUAAUCAGUGAAACUAAUCUUCCCGUGAAGAAGCGGGAAUAAAUAUAUAAGACGAGAAGACCCUAUGGAGCUUUAAACACAAGUAACAAUUGCCCCCUUCCCUAUUUUCAACAGAAAAUUAAUCUAUAUUUAGGCAUUUUGAUUACAAGUUUUAGGUUGGGGUGACCGCGGAGAAAAAAUAACCUCCACAAUGAACAGGACUUAUCCUUAAAUUUAGGAUUACAAUCCCAAAAAUCAAUAAAUUGACAUCUAUUGACCCAAUAUUUUUGAUCAAUGAACCAAGUUACCCUAGGGAUAACAGCGCAAUCCACUUCAAGAGCCCCUAUCGACAAGUGGGUUUACGACCUCGAUGUUGGAUCAGGGUGUCCCAGUGGUGCAGCCGCUACUAAAGGUUCGUUUGUUCAACGAUU
This 825-nucleotide ribosomal RNA is filed under the name Leptodactylus silvanimbus (Honduras white-lipped frog). Its description in RNAcentral is "partial 16S ribosomal RNA". It matches the Rfam family "Bacterial large subunit ribosomal RNA", at positions 1471 to 2589 of the family's 2925-position model. The record is from RNAcentral. Lineage: Eukaryota; Metazoa; Chordata; Amphibia; Anura; Leptodactylidae.